RNAcentral lists this long non-coding RNA (392 nucleotides) under Gossypium raimondii (Peruvian cotton). Its description in RNAcentral is "long non-coding RNA (GRAI_LNC007667)". The record is from RNAcentral. Lineage: Eukaryota; Viridiplantae; Streptophyta; Magnoliopsida; Malvales; Malvaceae.
UGUGAGCGAGCUUAUGGGAAUGAUUUGAACCAAGCAACUGGAAGCAACCAAUUCCAAUCAACAAAGAAUACAAUAAUUAGGAAAAAACUAUACAACUUUUUAUUUUAAUUGUAUUUGGAUAUUCUUCAUUAUUUUAGUUUGCUUUAGUUUUAAGAAUAUUAUUUUCAUUUCAUUUUUCUUAAUUUAAUAAAUUUAAUGAAUAUUUAAAAUUAAUAAAAUAGAAAAUUCAAAAAUAUAGGGCUAUACGGACUCGAACCGUAGACCUUCUCGGUAAAAUAGAUCGAACUGAUUAUUAUCAAAAUGAUUCGGCCUAUUUCAAAGACCCAACAUGCAUUUUUUUGCAUUGGGCUCUUUCAUUAACUGAUAGAAAUAUCAGUUAGUUUACCGUAUAU